UCUUGUUUUCAUUUCAUUCCAAAUCUGAAUACAUUUGUGAGAGAUUUGUUCUUUGUUUCGUAUUGUCUCGAAAAGGCACAUGCACGUUUUGUUGUUCCGCGUGUGCUUCCGAUAUAUGCUACUUAUUGUUAAAACUGCCCUCUUGUACUCUGGUGUGUGGGAUUAUCUGGACCUUUGCCAGAAAUGGUAAAGGGUAUGCGCUUAUUGCCCGCUCUGUGGGGUCCCGCUCUGUGGGAUAUUCUGGACCUUUGCUAGAAAUGGUAAAGGGUAUGUGCUUAGAGCCUGCGAUGCUCUGCCGGCCCCCUCUGACUUCACCUAGACAUGGGUGGAUGGAGCUCCCAGACGUGGGAGACUUUUGUCAGGUGGUCAUUCAGAAAUGGAUGAAUCACAUUUUGACUGAGAUCCCACUACACAUUCUGUAUGUUUGAUAUGAUAUCCAUAGCUUUGGUUAUGUGUUUCUGUACAUGCUUUGGAUAAGAUUGAUAUGUUUGCAACGUUAAAGACGAUGUUUG
RNAcentral lists this long non-coding RNA (512 nucleotides) under Musa acuminata (dwarf banana). Its description in RNAcentral is "long non-coding RNA (MACU_LNC011910)". Lineage: Eukaryota; Viridiplantae; Streptophyta; Magnoliopsida; Zingiberales; Musaceae. The record is from RNAcentral.